RNAcentral lists this unclassified non-coding RNA (484 nucleotides) under Hevea brasiliensis (rubber tree). The record is from RNAcentral. Lineage: Eukaryota; Viridiplantae; Streptophyta; Magnoliopsida; Malpighiales; Euphorbiaceae.
AGAGAGAGAGAGAGAGAGAUUUUUAAUUUUUAAGCAAUGUGGCAUGUGGGCUCCACAUUUAAUGAUAAAAAUGCCACAUGGCAUGCCACAUCAGCAGAACCAUAUUUUCCCCAAAUUCAAUUUCAAAUUUGGAUACAAUUUCUUCAACCUUUACAGAUUUGGUCAAUUGGGUCAAAAUUGAAACCAUUGGAUUAAAACGCAAAAAGUCGAAAAGGUUUGGAUUUGUAGUGUGAUUAGGCCAAUGUUUAAACUAUAACUUGAAAAUUGGAGUGAAACAAGUCACGCUGAUACCAAUGGUAAAUGCAUUACAAACAAGAAUUAGCUAUAGAACAAUUUCAUAAUUUAAUAUAACAUAAAAAGAUGUUUUAUGGUUAUCCAGUCAUGUGUUUGUUUUUAUUACUCUGUUCACAUCACAAAGGAUUCCACAGACCACAAAACUAUUGCUGGUUCACACAUGCAAGCAGAUAAACAUUAUACAACAGUC